GCAAACUUGGUCAUUUAGAGGAAGUACAAGUCGUAACAAGGUUUCCGUAGGUGAACCUGCGGAAGGAUCAUUAACAAAUCGUGUAUAGUGUGUGUGUAUAUUUUAUACGCAUAUACCAUAUAUAUGUGCGCCAGCAUUAGUGCUGGAUGCAAUAUUCAUGUGUAGUUUAUAAUUAUGUGUGUGAUACAGCAAAAAUACUAAACAUACUUUUAACAAUGGAUCUCUUGGCUCUUGCAUCGAUGAAGAACGCAGC
Molecule: unclassified non-coding RNA, 253 nt
Filed under: uncultured fungus
Lineage: Eukaryota; Fungi
Description: partial contains small subunit ribosomal RNA, internal transcribed spacer 1, and 5.8S ribosomal RNA
Rfam family: Eukaryotic small subunit ribosomal RNA (bases 1-73)
Source: RNAcentral